CGGAGCUAAGAGGCUCAGAGGCCAUCGAUGUCAGCCCCAGCUCUCUGAGAAGUAGGUCACCCUGGAGCCCAGGGCUCCCCGCCAUGUCUGUCAUCGACCAGAGACUCAUGUGUCCCUGCUCCCGGCAGUCACYGUCCGUGCUGCCAGUGGCUCUCUUCCCCCUCCCUUUGGGCUCAGAAUGCCACGUGGCUGACCUGUCCAAGGUCAAGCUGCGUGUCCCCCCCAACACUCUUGCUCCCUGGGCUGGUGCGGAGGACCAUCCACUGUGAUCACUAGAAAAUGGACCUGGGCUGGCGGGUCCCAGCCUCACGCAAAACGGACGCUGGCUGGGCCACCGCUCAUCACCGGUGGAGCACRGCUCUGAGCUGCUCCCGCUGCCUCAGUUCCUGGGGUCCCUGCCAUCUCUGCGGCCGCCACCCCGGACACCUGGGCCCUGGGAACACUGGGAUUCAGAGGGGCCUGCCCUGUCCUCGACACCUUCCACCUAGGACCGCCGGGCUGUGAGCUUCCUGAGGACGAGGGCCUCUGGCACCAGGGCGUCCCAGUGGAACCGGUCCUAAGGGUGCCAUUAGACUUUCGUGGAAUCAAUGUUCUGGAACUCAAGGACACGGGACUCUACACAGUGGGAAGCAAUGUCCUUUUUAACUCGGUGCCUGUCUUCUCAUGACAGCUAGGAGACACUCCAGGUGGGGGUGAGGACAUCUUCCCUCCUCUCCCUCUGGCUGUUUGGCUGUUUUGGCGUCUGGCCAGGAAGGGGAAGUCCUCCGCUCAGACCUGCGCAGACAAAAGUAUCCAGCAAGAGUACCAGUGUUGCUUUAUUUUAGAGUCAUUUUCAAUUUAUACCAGAAGAUAACAGUUUUCCACUUGCAAUUGCAACACAAGUGUCCUUUAAAUUGGUUUUAUCUAUCUAUCUAUCUAUCUCUAUCUGGCACUGGGUAUUGAACUCAGGGGCACUCAACCACUGAGCCACACCCCCAGCCUUAUUUUGCAUUUUAUUUAGAGUCAGGUUCUCACUGAGAUGCUUAGCACCUUGCUUUUGCUGAGGCUGGCUUUGAACUCGUGAACAGGCUCCUGCCUUAGCCUCCCGAGCUGCUGGGAUUACAGGUAUGCCCUACUGCAUCCGGCAGGUUUUCAAUUUUAAUACAAUUUCAGAUAUAAAAAAGGUUUUAAGCAUAAUACAAAGAAUUCCUAGAUGCCUCCUUUCUCCCUCCCCUUCUCUCUCUUUCUGUGGUACUAGGGAUUGAACCCAAGGAUGCUUUACCACACAGCUAUAUCUCUAGA
RNAcentral lists this long non-coding RNA (1281 nucleotides) under Urocitellus parryii (Arctic ground squirrel). Its description in RNAcentral is "lncRNA (ENSUPAG00010004198.1)". Lineage: Eukaryota; Metazoa; Chordata; Mammalia; Rodentia; Sciuridae. The record is from RNAcentral.